CCCUGGUUAGCUCAGUUGGUAGAGCGCUCCACUGGAAAUGGAGAGGUCCCGGGUUCGAUACCUGAACCAGACG
Molecule: non-coding RNA, 73 nt
Organism: Ixodes scapularis (black-legged tick)
Lineage: Eukaryota; Metazoa; Arthropoda; Arachnida; Ixodida; Ixodidae
Source: Rfam